Arachis ipaensis is the source of this 1559-nucleotide non-coding RNA. NCBI's taxonomy places the organism in Eukaryota, Viridiplantae, Streptophyta, Magnoliopsida, Fabales, Fabaceae. The record is from RefSeq and is a predicted model, not a curated record.
AUGUUUACGUGUUUCUAGUUCCAACAUUGUAUUUCAUUUGUAUCAUAGUCUAAAUUGGUAGCUACCUAUCUUUAGUGGGUGGAGGAAGCUUUCUUUAGUUUCAUUGUUAUAAUUUGCUAUUUUGCUACCAUAUUAGAAGUAGAUUUAAUAAUUAUCAUCAUCACAUUGAAGUUAGUUUCUCUUCAAGAUAAUAAAUUAGGAUUAUGUAUUCACCUUUUGAGAUUGUUGAAGAGAUGGAGGAGCCUGUGGAGGCAGAGAACUAUGGUGGUGAUGAUGAGCCUUCAAUGAUGAAAGCCAUUAUGAGAGAAAGUUCUCAACUUCUCUCUAUGCCUUCAAUGGAAUAUAUGAUGCCGAGUGCUUGAAGUUGAAGCUUCAGUAAGAGAACAUAAAGGGUAAAACAAAAAUUUCAGAUCAAAUUAGCAAGCUCAGGAAAGCUUGCAACAAGAACAAAAAUGAGGUUAAUAACGGAGAAGAGGAAAAGAUGAGAUUUAUUGUUUUGGAGAGGUUUUAUUUUGGGGAUGAGGUUCUGCCCUUGUUUGAGACUGGUAUUCCUCUCUUAAACUAACGGUUGAGUCAGCUUCCGGAUGCUAAUAAUGAUAGCAGAGGUUUAAAAUCGUCACAAUUUUUUUAAAAAACCUAUUUACCAAGUAGCUGCGGUUGUGCCAGUGGUUUUCCAAAACUGCAGCAAAAUCAAAUCUCCACCCCUAAUAGGCAACGCUUGUGGAACCGCUGGAAUUUCGUUUUGCGGCUGUUAAAAACAGCCACAAAUCCCUAAAAAACCGCCGCUAUUCGGUGUAUCUCUUGUAGUUUUCAUAGAAGUUUUUUCGGAUUACAUUAUCUUUCGGGUGGGUCUCUCUCAUGUGUUGAAGCAGUUGAUCGAUAGAUCGCUAAGAAAUAUUUCCUUCAGAUUUAAUUGUCAUUAAUCUAACAGCAAAUGAAAGUUUAGUGUGAUUUUUUUAAUUAAAAUUGUUUAAUUUGUAUUAUAAAAUAGAAAUCUAAAUUUAGUUUUAAAAAGGCUAACAUAUACCAUGUAAGUUAAUUUUGAAAAGACGAAAAAUUUCUUUUAGAAUUAUGGUUGUUUAAUUGUACUAGACAUUCGAAAUUUGAGUUUGAUUAUAAAGAGUUUAAAAUACAAGUUUGGUGAAUUUCAUUUCAAAAGUAGUAGAUACCGGCAGUUCCGAGAAAUACUACUGUUUUCUAAAUGUAUUCUGGUUGUAGAGGUAUAAAACCAGAUAACCUGAUACUUAAUAUAUUUGAACUACUAUAUAUGCUACUUUAAUGUGUAACACAAGUUAUAAAUAGAACAAUACACAAUAAUAUAUAUCAAAUUGAAUUUUAUUACGUAUUUGCUACAACACAAGAUGACAUGAGUUUCUAUAAGAUUAAUUUUAUUAUAUUCAAGCUUGUAUAAUAAUGUAACAUAUUAAAAAUUACACAAGAAAGUAACAUUAUAUUAUUAUACCAAUGCAUGAGAUACUUCAAACAAACGAUAAUAUAAAAAACUACAAACACAAUACUCCCAAGCCUUGUACUAUCAUACCUAAUAUAUACUUUUUGAC